Molecule: transfer RNA, 85 nt
Filed under: Candidatus Olsenella pullicola
Lineage: Bacteria; Bacillati; Actinomycetota; Coriobacteriia; Coriobacteriales; Atopobiaceae
Description: tRNA-Leu
Rfam family: tRNA
About the family: Transfer RNA (tRNA) molecules are approximately 80 nucleotides in length. Their secondary structure includes four short double-helical elements and three loops (D, anti-codon, and T loops). Further hydrogen bonds mediate the characteristic L-shaped molecular structure. tRNAs have two regions of fundamental functional importance: the anti-codon, which is responsible for specific mRNA codon recognition, and the 3' end, to which the tRNAs corresponding amino acid is attached (by aminoacyl-tRNA synthetases). tRNAs cope with the degeneracy of the genetic code in two manners: having more than one tRNA (with a specific anti-codon) for a particular amino acid; and 'wobble' base-pairing, i.e. permitting non-standard base-pairing at the 3rd anti-codon position.
Source: RNAcentral
GCCCGAGUGGCGGAACUGGCAGACGCGACGGUCUCAAAAACCGUUGAGGCAACUCGUGCGGGUUCGAUCCCCGCCUCGGGCACCA